CUGGACAGAGGGGUCGCACUGGCCAGCCUGGCCCAUCGGGUUUGCCAGGGCCACCUGGGACUGAGGGAGCAGAAGGAAAGCCUGGGUCCCGCCGGACCUGUUGGCCAUUCCGGCGAUGACGGGCCAAUGGGGUUUCAAGGGAUCGCUGGUGAGAGAGGCCCAGAUGGGCCACCAGGUUUUACAGGACCUCCUGGGAAGACCGGACCUCCAGGCAUACCAGGACCCCCAGGAGAGAGGGGUUUCACAGGGAAACCGGGCGUGG
Long non-coding RNA from Lampris incognitus (smalleye Pacific opah), 262 nucleotides. RefSeq lists it as uncharacterized. The transcript has 6 exons. The record is from RefSeq and is a predicted model, not a curated record. NCBI's taxonomy places the organism in Eukaryota, Metazoa, Chordata, Actinopteri, Lampriformes, Lampridae.